AGUGAACGCUGGCGGCAGGCCUAACACAUGCAAGUCGAACGGCAGCACAGAGGAGCUUGCUCCUUGGGUGGCGAGUGGCGGACGGGUGAGGAAUACAUCGGAAUCUGCCCAAUCGUGGGGGAUAACGUAGGGAAACUUACGCUAAUACCGCAUACGACCCCAUAUCGAAGGGUGUGGGGUGAAAGCGUGGGACCGCAAGGCCACGCGCGAUUGGAUGAGCCGAUGCGGAUUAGCUUGUUGGCGGGUAAAGGCCCACCAAGGCGACGAUCCGUAGCUGGUCUGAGAGGAUGAUCAGCCACACUGGAACUGAGACACGGUCCAGACUCCUACGGGAGGCAGCAGUGGGGAAUAUUGGACAAUGGGCGCAAGCCUGAUCCAGCCAUGCCGCGUGUGUGAAGAAGGCC
This 404-nucleotide ribosomal RNA is filed under the name uncultured bacterium. Its description in RNAcentral is "bacterial SSU rRNA". It matches the Rfam family "Bacterial small subunit ribosomal RNA", at positions 29 to 416 of the family's 1533-position model. The record is from RNAcentral.